CCUACGGGAGGCUGCAGUGGGGAAUAUUGGACAAUGGGCGAAAGCCUGAUCCAGCCAUGCCGCGUGUGUGAAGAAGGCCUUCGGGUUGUAAAGCACUUUCAGUGGGGAAGAAAGCCUUGGGGCUAAUACCCUCGAGGAAGGACAUCACCCACAGAAGAAGCACCGGCUAACUCCGUGCCAGCAGCCGCGGUAAUACGGAGGGUGCGAGCGUUAAUCGGAAUUACUGGGCGUAAAGCGCGCGUAGGCGGUCUGAUAAGCCGGUUGUGAAAGCCCCGGGCUCAACCUGGGAACGGCAUCCGGAACUGUCAGGCUAGAGUGCAGGAGAGGAAGGUAGAAUUCCCGGUGGAGCGGUGAAAUGCGUAGAGAUCGGGAGGAAUACCAGUGGCGAAGGCGGCCUUCUGGACUGACACUGACGCUGAGGUGCGAAAGCGUGGGUAGCAAACAGGAUUAGAUACCCGAGUAGUC
This 465-nucleotide ribosomal RNA is filed under the name Vreelandella stevensii. Its description in RNAcentral is "partial 16S ribosomal RNA". It matches the Rfam family "Bacterial small subunit ribosomal RNA", at positions 338 to 795 of the family's 1533-position model. Lineage: Bacteria; Pseudomonadati; Pseudomonadota; Gammaproteobacteria; Oceanospirillales; Halomonadaceae. The record is from RNAcentral.